AGCCGGGGGAACAAGAAAACUGGGGGAACGGGCACGCGUCUUCGCCCCCAACUCUCCUUGUCAACUAGGACGACAGGUGAGAUCGCGCCAAAAGCGAGGGUCUGUGCCAGGAGAGAAGGGACGCUGCGAGGAGGGAGCUGGGUGUGUACUGCAGAAGCCAGGAGAGACAGCGAGCCCCUCGAGGCGUUGAAGACCGAGCGUCAGCCUUCUUGGCCUCCCAUCGGCCGGUGCCACCCAAAUUUCGCGCGCCUCCCGGCCCGUCCCGAAUGCAAGCAGCGCAGGCGAGGAAGCAUUGCUCGCGAUGCAGCUGCAUUCGCACCAGAGGAAAGCCUCCAGCCGCGCGACUCCAGGACCUUGAGAACAUUGACUGCUGCGUCCUGGGACUAUCCAACUGUCCGAAUCCCCAGACCGUGUUCUCCGUCUAAGGACUCAGACGGGAGAUCUCUCGGAGUCGAGUCUCCUCCAGAGGACAGCUUUGCUCAGCCUCCUAAAAGAUCCCUUUGCUCCUCCCUUCACCACAUGUGACCAAGUCUCCCAGUUUCCCAGCCUGGAGAGCUUACCGGAAAAGAACCCACGUGACAUGGGAUCUGCUUGCUCUUUGGAAAAGCAGGUAUUGAGGAAUCUCUUCUUCUUUCCUCUUCCCCCUCUUCCUUGAAUGGCCUUUGUGACUUCAGGGCCCCAGUGCAGCUGAGGUUGACAUGGCAGGGUAAUCCUAUAGAGAAGGGAAUGUGAAAGGGACCUCCUCCUUGAGGAAUAAAAGAAGCACCUUGAAGUCAGUAACACGGGGAAUGUGACUCCUGCCAGGUCUGCUGGGCAGGCCCUUUCUGCUCCUGGCUGCAGCCUGUCCGUCCAGUCUUCUGCAGUCAUCUGGGUAAGCUUUUUUUUUUUUUUUUUUCUUUUUGCCUUUUCUUGGGCCGCUCCUUGCAGCAUAUGGAGGUUCCCAGGCUAGGGACUGAAUCAGAGCUGUAGCCGCUGGCCUACACCACAGCCACAGCAACGUGGGAUCUGAGCUGCAUCUGCGACCUACAGCACAGCUCACAGCAACGCCGGGUCCUUAACCCACUGAGCAAGGCCAGGGAUCGAACCUACAACCUCAUGGUUCCUAGUCGGAACCCACUGAGCCACAACGGGAACUCCUGGGUAAGCUUCUUGAUGCGAGCAGACGUGGGCGAGACCCCUGCUGGGAGGUCAUGAUAGAGGAACUGUAGAAACUGAUCUUCCAAUGUCUGAG
Molecule: long non-coding RNA, 1231 nt
Filed under: Sus scrofa (pig)
Lineage: Eukaryota; Metazoa; Chordata; Mammalia; Artiodactyla; Suidae
Description: lncRNA (ENSSSCG00060033723.1)
Source: RNAcentral